Molecule: long non-coding RNA, 893 nt
Organism: Ailuropoda melanoleuca (giant panda)
Lineage: Eukaryota; Metazoa; Chordata; Mammalia; Carnivora; Ursidae
Exons: 3
Source: RefSeq, a predicted model, not a curated record
AGACCUCCAGGAAGGUUCCUGGGAGCUAUCCUGACUGUCAGCUGCUGCUCCUGAGAACUUCUCUUCUGACUCAGUGAGCUGAUCACCUCUGCACUUUUGAAGAGACUCUUCCGACGGGAAGACCAGUGGAGCAGUGGUUUUCAAAGCGUGGUCCCCUGGGCACCAUCAACAUUACCUGGGAGCUUGUUCGAAUGUACUUUGCCAGCCCCACCCCGGACCCGAGGCAUCAUGAAUCCCUGAGGUUGGAAUCCGGCGGUGACCCACUCCGUGUGAUUUUGCUGCCACUGACCCUGACGAGCACAGCUCAGGACUGAUGGAGGAUAUGCCGCCUAAUAUGUAUGUCAUUAAGCCUCGUGGCCGGAAUGAGAAAUGGCUUCUGCUCCAAUCCUUCCCACCUGCUACCCUCCUGCUUCUGUUGUCCUUGACUCCCGUCGUGAAGGUCACCAGGCUGCAGACCCAUUAGGCUGCGUGAGACCACUCCAGUGCCUAAGUGUACUCCUGCACCCAGCCUCUUCUGGGCACCUCUCAGCACAAGGGCCGGGGUGAAGCCUCCCGGAGCCCCCUAGCCUCCCAGGCAGACAGGCUGUCAUCUCCUGCACUUCCACACAGCGUUACCUGUUACAAGCCUCUGUUAGAGCGCUUAUCCCAUCAUGCUUUUUUGUCGUGUUAAAAGUAAAGGAGUGAAUAAAUGAAGCCUUUGUUUUUCCUCCCCAGACCUUCCAGAAAGAACUUCUUUGGGAGUCUUUGAAAGCCAUUUUAACGAGACCAGACCUGCUAAUAAAUUUCUUUUCUUGACAGUUCAAAUACUUGGUGUUUGAGAAAUAAGCUAGCUGCAUAGCGAGGGCUGACUGAGUCGCGAGCUGGCCUUGACUUGGUUGGAAAGUGCAGGGGAA